Molecule: long non-coding RNA, 470 nt
Organism: Solenopsis invicta (red fire ant)
Lineage: Eukaryota; Metazoa; Arthropoda; Insecta; Hymenoptera; Formicidae
Exons: 2
Source: RefSeq, a predicted model, not a curated record
UCAAUCCAAUCCGAGAUCCGAUUAGUUAUCGUAAACACCCACUGAUUGUGUUUAGGGUUUUACUCGUGCAAUUCUAUUAUAAUUCGUUAAGUUAACUCGUAUAUUGCAGAGUGGAAGGUUGAACGAGUCCGUACCAAUUAAGAAAAAGAAGAAAAUGAUUGGAGGGAUAAUUAAAUCAUUUGGAGGUUUAUUCGACGCGUUUUCGCACGAAAUGAACGAAUCUGGCAGAAAAAAGUGUCGGACUGACCCGCGAAUCGAGAUAUCAAGCUUUAAAGUUGACGACUAUUUAGGUUAGGAUAUCUAACCUAACGUUUGACUACGAAGAUAUUCGAUUCGCCAGUCAGAUAUUCGGAAGAAACGUAUACUUGUAAGUCGCGCUAAUGGCGAUGAAGUUUGUUAUAUCACGUUAAUAAUAAUAAUAAUGUUUGUUAUAUACCGUAAUAACAAUAAUAAAAAAUAUAUAUAUAUAA